AAGGUCCAACCUCACAUGUCCUGUGCGGCUGAAGGAAGGCUGUGUGAGGUCAGACCUAUC
Molecule: microRNA precursor, 60 nt
Organism: Acanthochromis polyacanthus (spiny chromis)
Lineage: Eukaryota; Metazoa; Chordata; Actinopteri; Pomacentridae
Source: Ensembl